Molecule: ribosomal RNA, 459 nt
Filed under: uncultured bacterium
Lineage: Bacteria
Description: bacterial SSU rRNA
Rfam family: Bacterial small subunit ribosomal RNA
Source: RNAcentral
AUUGAACGCUGGCGGUAUGCUUUACACAUGCAAGUCGAACGGCAGCACGGACUUCGGUCUGGUGGCGAGUGGCGAACGGGUGAGUAAUGUAUCGGAACGUGCCCAGUAGUGGGGGAUAACUACUCGAAAGAGUGGCUAAUACCGCAUGAGAUCUCUGGAUGAAAGCGGGGGACCGUAAGGCCUCGCGCUACUGGAGCGGCCGAUAUCAGAUUAGGUAGUUGGUAGGGUAAGAGCCUACCAAGCCAACGAUCUGUAGCUGGUCUGAGAGGACGACCAGCCACAUUGGGACUGAGACACGGCCCAAACUCCUACGGGAGGCAGCAGUGGGGAAUCUUGCGCAAUGGGCGAAAGCCUGACGCAGCCAUGCCGCGUGGAUGAUGAAGGUCUUAGGAUUGUAAAAUCCUUUCACCGGUGAAGAUAAUGACUGUAGCCGGAGAAGAAGCCCCGGCUAACUUCGUG